UCCCGGGGAGGGGGCGGGCGUGUGCGUCCAGGGCUGGGCUAAGCGGAGGACAAACAGCUGGCGACUGUCAGGGUCUGGCCGCCUCCCCGCUGCCCACACGCACCUACUCUCGCCCGGGACGCUCAUUUUCCUUCCCUCGCCACGAGUUCACCUGGGACUUUGGAAAUAACUGUGCGGUGGAAGCUGCGCUCCUGCCUUGUCAUUUGCUGGGGGCGGGUGGCGGUGGUCAAGGAAGUGAACUUAUUUUGUUUCUUCACAAAGACUGGACCAGGCGGUGCCUUUCACGCGAAGAGGUUACAACCACGGACACCUCCUCAGAUACACUGUGUGCGCGAGGCAGCACCUCCGGCCCAAGGCAAUAAUCAUUUCACAGAAAACGCACCGCCCCGAGUGUCUUAUUGCUGUGAUGAAAUGGAAAUUUAAAUAAAAGGUCGAACACGUGCGUUCACUGGGAAGUAUUGACAUGGGUGUUACAUCACCAGCAGCCAAUCAGAUAACUCCAGUCAUGUUUAUACUUCUACAAACCACCUUGUGAGUAUUACAGUAUGUCAUAACGUUAUAAAUAUUAGGCAGGGUUUUCCCCGGCAGCGGGGAGGAGUCUGCUUAUACGGGCGUUGUGUGCGGCUCCGAAGAUUGUAUGUGACUCCGAAGAUCGUGUUUAAUGACAAGCAUCAUUUUUUAAGACUUUUUUUUAGCUGUUUAUAUUUCAUAUGGAAUUUUUACAUAGAAUGAUUAGAGCAGAUUGAGCUGGAAAUGAACCUCCCAUAACUAUAAUCUUAGUGAGAUUUUUAAGAAAAAGGUCUUACAAUUCCAAGCCCUUAAACUUCUGACUUAAAUAUUUUAAUACGCUAAAUUUAGCAAAUUCUGAAGUGUUUAAAUUCAUUUACUAAUUUGCAAUGUAAGAUAAAUCUUAUUUUGGGGCAAACAUAUUUCGGGUAAAAAAAAAGUUCUCCAACUGGAAAGAUUUUUUUCCUCUUUCAAGAAAUAUGUUUAUUAGAAAUCGGAACACUAAUAUAAAAUAAAUUCAAAAUAAUUGUUGAGCCAGGCGUGGUUGAGGCGCAGGCAGCUCCAAAGGCUGAGGUAAGAGGAUUAGGGAGUUCAAAGCCAGCCUCAGCCACUCUGCAAGACCAAGUCUCAAAAUAAAAUGUAACCAAAGGGUUGGGGGUGUGGCUCAGUGGUUAAGCACCCCUGGGGGUUGAAUCCCUGAUACCAAAAAAAAAAAAAAAAAAACACGUUAAUGUAGUCUUGUGAUUACUGUCUUUUUUUUCUGUUUUUAAGAGAAAAACAAUAUUUAAGUCUUCAAAUAUAUAAUGUGAAAUAGGCUAUUUUCAAGGUAGCUUUUAAAAACAAAUUUUCCUGAACAGAUUAUAAAAUACCAUGAACUAAGCACAUGCUUGCACAUCCAGACUCAUAUAUUGAUUGUAUAGAUUGAUUCAAAGCCACUUUCACUUAAUUCACUGUAAUUUUAGCAUCAGUAUAGUGUUGUAUAUCAAACAAUAACAUUAGUUCUACCUUACAGAUUAAAUGUAAUUUCAAUAUAAAGAAUGACACUACUACCCUCCCACCAAAGGACUUGAACUUUGAGUUAUUUUUCCAAUGAUAAGCUUAUUGUCACCUAUCCUUGUUGUCCAACCUGGGCACCAGUAAUCCACAAGCUUGAAAUUGCAAUACAGGUCUUCAGGUUGGUGCAGUUUGUAGGUCUAUGACCUGGACCUAAUUUGUACCUUAAAAAAUGAGAGAAUUCUCCCUAUUGUGCUUUAUGUAAUUUGUGCCAUGUAUAAAAGAAUUAACAAUAAUACCAUUCUUUGUCCUUAGUGCAUUUUUAGAAUUCUAGGCAUUUUUAAAAUAUUAUAUUUUAACCGUUAUAGUCGCUUUCCCCAUUUAAAAAAGGAGUUACUGAAGUUAAUUGCUUAACUGAGAUGAAGGUGAUGGGAAGUAGAAAUGGACUUUUCAACUAUAAAAUUUGUUUUCAUUCCAAAACUGUUAAAUUCAAAUCUUUGCUUUCUCUCAUUUUAUAUCCCUAUUGCACAAUAGGUACUCUAUUAGUUUAUGCUACUGUAAUUAUAUUUGCUUUCUAAUGGUGUUAGAAUCAACCAAAAGUGUUCAAAUUCUUAAUGGUGCUAUUUUGUUCAAACAUAUAUCUUACCUUAUGUUAUACAAAAUCUACAUUGUUGUCUGUCUGGAAUUGUUUUAUCAUGAACUGAUUAGAAAUGAAUAAUACUAGAUUCAAGUGAUAAAAAUAAAAUGCUUAAAUUCUAGGACCUCUGCACUAACAGCCAAACAAGCACCAGUCAGUCUGGUGUGUGUGUGUGUGUGUGUGUGUGUGUGCGCGCGCGCGCACAUAAGCACACAUACAUACUUGUGUAUAUAUUUAUCACUCUGUGUAUAUGUAUAAAUACACACUCACACAUGCAUAAAUAUACAUAUUCAGUUGUUUUCCUCUGAACCCUGAAGGAAGAUUGGAAACCUUGAAGGAAUCAGGAAAAAAGUUUAAAGGGAUAAUAAUCACAAAUAUCUCAGAAUACCCGAUAACAAGGGAACUUUGAGUAACAGAAGGGGAUCUCCUGCUCUGUAAAUGGAGUUUUUAGGAAUUCCCCCACCCCUUCCAGUCUCUUACUAGCAAGCAGGGAUCUGUUCUCCCCAAUAACCCAUAUAUGUACUGUUAGGGUUCUACCAUAUUUAAGGGAAUUCCCCCUAAUGCUUACCAGGGGAACCCCUCAAGAAUGGGGCAUCCCCAACCAAUUUGUCCCCUAAUUUCACUUCAGGCAAUGUAAAACUGCUGGAGGUUAUGCUUGAUGUUGUUUUCCCAUAACUCUGAUGGUGAUUAGCUCCUAUAACUGGCUCAGUAGUUGAUCUUUCAUGAUCAGACUGUCCUUGGUAGAGGUAUGUUGCGUCUAUCAGCAUUUUUGCCUCUUCAGGGUCUAGAGACAAUCACCUAUGAUGCUAUAAGUGGAAAUUGACAUGAUCAUCCACCAGAAGGAUGUAUGUGAGGUUAGGAGACCACCUUAUACUCCCCAACCUAUAGGCCCAGGCUGGCACAAAAUAGGCAAAUAAAUAGUAAAUGUUUAUUGGGUAAUUUACUGCAUCUUCCCUUGCGAUCUAUUUUGAUAAACAAACUUUUCUUCUGUUUGAUUUUUAUUUUUCUUGGUUAAAUAACAGUUAUUCUUCAAGUAUUGAGUUAAUGUUUCCAUUGCAUUUACAUUAAAUGUAAUAAAAUAUGACUAUAGUUAAGUAAUAUUACUAGUAUCAUUAUCUAUGUAGUUACAGUGAAUUACCAUCAGUUUACACAGUGUCCUUGUGAAUUAAAUCAAGGUAGCAAUUAUUAUUAUCAUUUAACACAUGGAGAAACCCUGGUACAAAAAGGUUAACUAUUUUGUUCUGGGUUUUUGAGGCAAAAGUUAAGUUUAUAAGGUUACCCACAAGAGUAAAAUACCCUUCCAUCUAAGGCACCCUUUGCCACUAAAGUAUGUAUUAACAAUGUUAUAUCUGCAUAAUUUUUAACUACACAAAAUUUUUAAAUUUCUUGUGCAAAUAUGCUUAUUUCCAGACUUAAGGACUAACAUGUAAUAUAGUCUUCCUUUUCAGUGCCUAGCUAAAAUUGUAUUUUGGUCUUUAUAGGUUGGAUCCUAGCAUAUUUGUUACAUUUAUUACUAUGUUUAAUAUCAUUAAAUAUUUUAAUGAUAUACCAUAAUUGAUUAAUCCUUCAUUGUUGAAUAUUUCAUUGUUUACAUUUUUUGUUUGGUUUUUUCACAUAACUCUUUAGUGACCAUCCUCC
Molecule: long non-coding RNA, 3775 nt
Filed under: Marmota monax (woodchuck)
Lineage: Eukaryota; Metazoa; Chordata; Mammalia; Rodentia; Sciuridae
Source: RNAcentral